This 443-nucleotide ribosomal RNA is filed under the name uncultured bacterium. RNAcentral's name for it is "partial 16S ribosomal RNA". It matches the Rfam family "Bacterial small subunit ribosomal RNA", at positions 338 to 795 of the family's 1533-position model. The record is from RNAcentral.
CCUACGAGUGGCAGCAGUGGGGAAUAUUGGGCAAUGGGCGCAAGCCUGACCCAGCAACGCCGCGUGAAGGAAGAAGGCUUUCGGGUUGUAAACUUCUAUUCUCAGGGACGAAGAAAGUGACGGUACCUGAGGAAUAAGCCACGGCUAACUACGUGCCAGCAGCCGCGGUAAUACGUAGGUGGCAAGCGUUAUCCGGUUUUACUGGGUGUAAAGGGCGUGUAGGCGGGACUGCAAGUCAGAUGUGAAAACCACGGGCUCAACCUGUGGCCUGCAUUUGAAACGGUAGUUCUUGAGUGCUGGGGAGGCAGACGGAAUUCCUAGUGUAGCGGUGAAAUGCGUAGAUAUUAGGAGGAACACCAGUGGCGAAGGCGGUCUGCUGGACAGCAACUGACGCUGAGGCGCGAAAGCGUGGGGAGCAAACAGGAUUAGAUACCCGGGUAGUC